Molecule: ribosomal RNA, 119 nt
Filed under: Setaria viridis
Lineage: Eukaryota; Viridiplantae; Streptophyta; Magnoliopsida; Poales; Poaceae
Also listed under: 1 other name
Source: RNAcentral
GGAUGCGAUCAUACCAGCAAUAAAGCACCGGAUCCCAUCAGAACUCCGAAGUUAAGCGUGCUUGGGCGAGAGUAGUACUAGGAUGGGUGACCUCCUGGGAAGUCCUCGUGUUGCAUUCC